GAAAGUAAGAUUAAUACCCGGCGGUCUCGGAUGGCCGCAUGACUGUCCGAGUGAAGAUUUAUCGGUAUGAGAUGGCGAUGCGUCCCAUUAGCUUGUUGGUGAGGUAACGGCUCACCAAGGCAUCGAUGGGUAGGGGUUCUGAGAGGAAGGUCCCCCACAUUGGAACUGAGACACGGUCCAAACUCCUACGGGAGGCAGCAGUGAGGAAUAUUGGUCAAUGGACGAAAGUCUGAACCAGCCAAGUAGCGUGCAGGAUGACGGCCCUCUGGGUUGUAAACUGCUUUUAGUUGGGAAUAAAAAGAGGGACGUGUCCCUUAUUGUAUGUACCAUCAGAAAAAGGACCGGCUAAUUCCGUGCCAGCAGCCGCGGUAAUACGGAAGGUCCAGGCGUUAUCCGGAUUUAUUGGGUUUAAAGGGAGCGCAGGCGGCGGCGUAAGUCAGUUGUGAAAUCGUGCGGCUUAACCGUGCAAUUGCAGUUGAUACUGCGUCGCUUGAGUGCACACAGGGAUGUUGGAAUUCAAGGUGUAGCGGUGAAAUGCUUAGGUAUCAUGAAGAACUCCGAUCGCGGAGGCAUAUGUCCGGAGUGCAACUGACGCUGAGGCUCGAAAGUGUGGGUAUCAAACAGGAUUAGAUACCCUGGUAGUCCACACAGUAAACGAUGAAUACUCGCGGUUGGUUCGUUAGAAUCAGCCGC
RNAcentral lists this ribosomal RNA (693 nucleotides) under uncultured bacterium. RNAcentral's name for it is "bacterial SSU rRNA". It matches the Rfam family "Bacterial small subunit ribosomal RNA", at positions 153 to 847 of the family's 1533-position model. The record is from RNAcentral.